UACGUAGGGCGCAAGCGUUGUCCGGAAUUAUUGGGCGUAAAGAGCUCGUAUGGACGGCUUGUUGCGUCGAAUCUGUGAAAAACCCCGCGGCUUAACUGCGGGCUUGCAGUUGAUACGGGCAGGCUAGAGUUUCGGUAGGGGGAGAACUGGAAUUCCUGGUGUAGCGGUGAAAUGCGCAGAUAUCAGGAGGAACACCGGUGGCGAAGGCGGGUCUCUGGGCCGAAUACAUGACGCUGAGGAGCGAAAGCGUAGGGGAGCGGAACAGGA
RNAcentral lists this ribosomal RNA (267 nucleotides) under uncultured bacterium. RNAcentral describes it as "partial 16S ribosomal RNA". It matches the Rfam family "Bacterial small subunit ribosomal RNA", at positions 524 to 777 of the family's 1533-position model. The record is from RNAcentral.